Long non-coding RNA from Trematomus bernacchii (emerald rockcod), 370 nucleotides. RefSeq lists it as uncharacterized. The transcript has 4 exons. Lineage: Eukaryota; Metazoa; Chordata; Actinopteri; Perciformes; Nototheniidae. The record is from RefSeq and is a predicted model, not a curated record.
ACUCUCCAAAAGCUUCAGGACAGAUCUUCACCAUCACUGACUUCAGAGCUGAACACAGUGGGAGUUAUUCCUGUGAAGCCCAGAACAAGUUAGGACGUAGUAUCUCCACCUUUCAUCUGAGUGUUGGAACAGGGAGUUCAACAAUGAUAGUGAAUAUCAUCAGGACGACUCUGGGGGUCUUGAUUCUGAUUCCUGUGUUUCUCCUGAGUCUGUGGAUGAGGAAGAAGAUAGCUCUGCGCUCCACCACUGAAGCACAUCUACCUGAAGAGAUAGAGUUGGACUCUGUUCCUGAGUAUGAGAACGACUCACACACUGCAGCACAGACAGAAGACACAGAGGAGCAGGAAGACCUGGUGUGAAGUCCAGUCAG